AAUUCUAUCAAAACAUACACUUGAGUGUGUUUUGGAUUGUGGGAGUGUCUGCUGGGUUUCUGAGCCAGCUCUCCUGAAAGAUAUUAGCUGGGGGGAUGUGCCUCGUCACUUCUGCUUUUUCAUUGGUGUGAUAGAUGAAUAAACUUAUCUACGCCAGGAAAGCAGGUUGCAGGUGUGAAGCACUGUGAUCUCUCUGCUCUCUAAUUGACAUUUGUCUGAUA
Molecule: unclassified non-coding RNA, 221 nt
Filed under: uncultured Amanita
Lineage: Eukaryota; Fungi; Basidiomycota; Agaricomycetes; Agaricales; Amanitaceae
Description: sequence contains ITS2
Source: RNAcentral